CCUUUGUACACACCGCCCGUCGCUACUACCGAUUGAAUGGCUCAGUGAGGCUUUCGGACUGGCCCAGAGAGGCGGGCAACUGCCACUCAGGGCCGGAAAGUUAUCCAAACUCGGUCAUUUAGAGG
This 125-nucleotide ribosomal RNA is filed under the name Colletotrichum acutatum. RNAcentral's name for it is "partial small subunit ribosomal RNA". It matches the Rfam family "Eukaryotic small subunit ribosomal RNA", at positions 1657 to 1779 of the family's 1831-position model. Lineage: Eukaryota; Fungi; Ascomycota; Sordariomycetes; Glomerellales; Glomerellaceae. The record is from RNAcentral.